Molecule: ribosomal RNA, 670 nt
Filed under: Acinetobacter johnsonii
Lineage: Bacteria; Pseudomonadati; Pseudomonadota; Gammaproteobacteria; Moraxellales; Moraxellaceae
Description: bacterial SSU rRNA
Rfam family: Bacterial small subunit ribosomal RNA
Source: RNAcentral
GGGGGACAACAUUCCGAAAGGAAUGCUAAUACCGCAUACGCCCUACGGGGGAAAGCAGGGGAUCUUCGGACCUUGCGCUAAUAGAUGAGCCUAAGUCAGAUUAGCUAGUUGGUGGGGUAAAGGCCUACCAAGGCGACGAUCUGUAGCGGGUCUGAGAGGAUGAUCCGCCACACUGGGACUGAGACACGGCCCAGACUCCUACGGGAGGCAGCAGUGGGGAAUAUUGGACAAUGGGCGAAAGCCUGAUCCAGCCAUGCCGCGUGUGUGAAGAAGGCCUUUUGGUUGUAAAGCACUUUAAGCGAGGAGGAGGCUACUUGGAUUAAUACUCUAGGAUAGUGGACGUUACUCGCAGAAUAAGCACCGGCUAACUCUGUGCCAGCAGCCGCGGUAAUACAGAGGGUGCGAGCGUUAAUCGGAUUUACUGGGCGUAAAGCGUGCGUAGGCGGCUUUUUAAGUCGGAUGUGAAAUCCCUGAGCUUAACUUAGGAAUUGCAUUCGAUACUGGGAAGCUAGAGUAUGGGAGAGGAUGGUAGAAUUCCAGGUGUAGCGGUGAAAUGCGUAGAGAUCUGGAGGAAUACCGAUGGCGAAGGCAGCCAUCUGGCCUAAUACUGACGCUGAGGUACGAAAGCAUGGGGAGCAAACAGGAUUAGAUACCCUGGUAGUCCAUGCCG